This is a non-coding RNA of Oryctolagus cuniculus (rabbit), 279 nucleotides long. NCBI's taxonomy places the organism in Eukaryota, Metazoa, Chordata, Mammalia, Lagomorpha, Leporidae. The record is from RefSeq and is a predicted model, not a curated record.
AGACACCAGAACAGCUGCCUGCCAUUGACCUGAGAGCUGCAGCUAACAACGUCCUUGUUUCCUUACCUUCUUGCUGGAGACCCAGCUUGGCAGGCGGAUGCCACUCCUGGAGACACUCAUCUUGUCAUCCCUCUGGGCCUAUGGACUUGCGCUGUUGGAGCAACCCCAAAUAUCAAUUUCCAGAGCAAGAGAUAAGAGUGCCCACAUAUCCUGUAAGGCAUCCAUCCAAAACUUUGAUAAUGAAGUCAUACACUGGUACCGGCAGAAACCAAAUGAAGG